This 441-nucleotide ribosomal RNA is filed under the name Triticum aestivum (bread wheat). RNAcentral's name for it is "partial small subunit ribosomal RNA". The record is from RNAcentral. Lineage: Eukaryota; Viridiplantae; Streptophyta; Magnoliopsida; Poales; Poaceae.
AUGCCCGCAGCAGCACUCCAGCCACCUGCGCUCCUUCCCCAGCAGUGCACCCUGGCGCCGCCUCGUCCCCACACAGCCCGCGAGGCACCGGCCUCCUCUGCUUCGCGCCUCCCGAGCACCGACCAAGAGCCCGAGCUCCAUCUUCUACGCCCGCGUCUGAGCGAGAGGAGCUCGCUGCUCGAGCAUGCACAAGACCCAUGGCGCCCUCCCGAGCUCCUCCGAUGCGUGCCUCCACUCGUUCUCGUCUCCCUCCGUCUUCAUCGCAGCACCAUAGGACCAACAGCUCCACCGCGCGUGCCUGUCGGUGGCAAGAGUCCCAGGCCAGACCAGUUUGAUGGAGUUCCCAAAAUGCCCGACUCCAACGGCAAUGACAUGCACCACGAGGAGGAUGAUGGCCUCUUCACCUACUCCGACCCCGUCCUCCCUGACGCCUGGUCGUAG